This 418-nucleotide ribosomal RNA is filed under the name Gafrarium alfredense. Its description in RNAcentral is "Gafrarium pectinatum alfredense partial 12S ribosomal RNA". Lineage: Eukaryota; Metazoa; Mollusca; Bivalvia; Venerida; Veneridae. The record is from RNAcentral.
AAACAAGGAUUUGAUACCCUUUUAUUAAUGCUGUUUAUAAUGCCGCGAGGACUACGAACGGUUGGGUAUGUUUAAAAUUUAAAAGGGUUGGCGGUGUUUCAUAUCCAUUUAGGGAAACUUGACGGUUAAACCGAUGAACCUCGUGUACUUUACUCUUAGUUUACUUUUCAUACCGCCGUUGUUAGUUUUUUUUUAGGGAGGUUAGGUAGAAGCAUAAAAUGUUUUUGUUGGACAUUGUAAUUCAGGUAGACGUGUUGGAAUCUAGGAGGCUUAGUUGAGUUAUGAUGAUUUAAGUUACGGAUCUGUAGUGUUGAAAUAUUAUUAGAGAAGAAGUACUUUAUAGUAAAAUUUUUGGAGAGAGGAAAUUUGAAUAGUGUAAUUGAAAUGCGUACAAAUCGCCCGGCGCUCGUCUAUAACC